This 440-nucleotide ribosomal RNA is filed under the name uncultured bacterium. RNAcentral describes it as "partial 16S ribosomal RNA". It matches the Rfam family "Bacterial small subunit ribosomal RNA", at positions 338 to 795 of the family's 1533-position model. The record is from RNAcentral.
CCUACGGGAGGCAGCAGUAGGGAAUAUUGCUCAAUGGGGGAAACCCUGAAGCAGCAACGCCGCGUGGAGGAUGAAGGUUUUAGGAUUGUAAACUCCUUUUGUGAGAGAAGAUAAUGACGGUAUCUCACGAAUAAGCACCGGCUAACUCCGUGCCAGCAGCCGCGGUAAUACGGAGGGUGCGAGCGUUACUCGGAAUCACUGGGCGUAAAGAGUGCGCAGGCGGGCUUGUAAGUCAGAUGUGAAAUCCUGUAGCUUAACUACAGAACUGCAUUUGAAACUAUGAGUCUAGAGUGUGGGAGAGGUAGGUGGAAUUCUUGGUGUAGGGGUAAAAUGCGUAGAUAUCAAGAGGAAUACUCAGUGCGAAGGCGACCUACUGGAACAUUACUGACGCUCAUGCACGAAAGCGUGGGGAGCAAACAGGAUUAGAUACCCGAGUAGUC